This 50-nucleotide ribosomal RNA is filed under the name Pogona vitticeps (central bearded dragon). The record is from RNAcentral. Lineage: Eukaryota; Metazoa; Chordata; Lepidosauria; Squamata; Agamidae.
CACCCUGGACACACUUGAUCUCAUCCGAUUUCGGAAGCUAAGCAGGGAUG